GCGCCUUUAACUCAGCUGGAUAGAGUAACUGCCUUCUAAGCAGUAAGCCGCUGGUUCGAAUCCAGCCCGGCGCGCCA
This 77-nucleotide transfer RNA is filed under the name Ruminococcus sp. RNAcentral describes it as "tRNA-Arg". It matches the Rfam family "tRNA". From Rfam's summary of the family: Transfer RNA (tRNA) molecules are approximately 80 nucleotides in length. Their secondary structure includes four short double-helical elements and three loops (D, anti-codon, and T loops). Lineage: Bacteria; Bacillati; Bacillota; Clostridia; Eubacteriales; Oscillospiraceae. The record is from RNAcentral.